GACGAACGCUGGCGGCGCGCCUAACACAUGCAAGUCGAACGGAGCUGAGAGGAGCUUGCUUUUCUUAGCUUAGUGGCGAACGGGUGAGUAACGCGUGAGUAACCUGCCCUGGAGUGGGGGACAACAGUUGGAAACGACUGCUAAUACCGCAUAAGCCCACGGCCCGGCAUCGGGCUGCGGGAAAAGGAUUUAUUCGCUUCAGGAUGGACUCGCGUCCAAUUAGCUAGUUGGUGAGGUAACGGCCCACCAAGGCGACGAUUGGUAGCCGGACUGAGAGGUUGAACGGCCACAUUGGGACUGAGACACGGCCCAGACUCCUACGGGAGGCAGCAGUGGGGGAUAUUGCACAAUGGGGGAAACCCUGAUGCAGCGACGCCGCGUGGAGGAAGAAGGUUUUCGGAUUGUAAACUCCUGUCGUUAGGGAC
Molecule: ribosomal RNA, 425 nt
Filed under: uncultured bacterium
Lineage: Bacteria
Description: bacterial SSU rRNA
Rfam family: Bacterial small subunit ribosomal RNA
Source: RNAcentral